RNAcentral lists this ribosomal RNA (253 nucleotides) under uncultured bacterium. RNAcentral's name for it is "partial 16S ribosomal RNA". It matches the Rfam family "Bacterial small subunit ribosomal RNA", at positions 524 to 776 of the family's 1533-position model. The record is from RNAcentral.
UACAGAGGGUGCGAGCGUUAAUCGGAAUUACUGGGCGUAAAGCGCGCGUAGGCGGAAUGAUAAGUCAGAUGUGAAAUCUUUGGGCUCAACCCAAAAACUGCAUAUGAUACUGUCAGUCUAGAGUAUGGUAGAGGAAGGUGGAAUUUCUGGUGUAGCGGUGAAAUGCGUAGAUAUCAGAAGGAAUAUCAGUGGCGAAGGCGACCUUCUGGGCCAAUACUGACGCUGAGGUGCGAAAGCGUGGGUAGCGAACAGG